RNAcentral lists this ribosomal RNA (517 nucleotides) under uncultured bacterium. RNAcentral describes it as "bacterial SSU rRNA". It matches the Rfam family "Bacterial small subunit ribosomal RNA", at positions 29 to 450 of the family's 1533-position model. The record is from RNAcentral.
AGUGAACGCUGGCGGCGUGCCUAACACAUGCAAGUCGAACGGGCUAGUGCUUCGCACUAGUCUCUUUCUGGGGUUGUUACUCUAAGGCUACCUGCUAAGGUUAUUGCUUUAAAGCAGGGGUUUUAGGAGACUUUCCCCGAAAGGGGCCAGUGCGGAGCACUGGCCAGUGGCGAACGGGUGAGUAACACGUGGGUAAUCUACCCUCGAGUGGGGAAUAAGCUUCCGAAAGGGGGUCUAAUGCCGCAUAACGUUUCAUAACGAUGGUUAUGAACCAAAGCCCAAAAGGCGCUCGAGGAGGAGCCUGCGUCCUAUCAGCUUGUUGGCAGGGUAAUGGCCUACCAAGGCUAUGACGGGUAGCCGGCCUGAGAGGGUGUCCGGCCACACUGGAACUGAGACACGGUCCAGACUCCUACGGGAGGCAGCAGUGGGAAUUUUGCGCAAUGGGGGAAACCCUGACGCAGCGACGCCGCGUGGAGGAUGACGGCCUCGGUUGUAACUACCUGUCAGAAGGACGAAA